RNAcentral lists this ribosomal RNA (1412 nucleotides) under Lactiplantibacillus plantarum. RNAcentral's name for it is "bacterial SSU rRNA". It matches the Rfam family "Bacterial small subunit ribosomal RNA". The record is from RNAcentral. Lineage: Bacteria; Bacillati; Bacillota; Bacilli; Lactobacillales; Lactobacillaceae.
GACGAACUCUGGUAUUGAUUGGUGCUUGCAUCAUGAUUUACAUUUGAGUGAGUGGCGAACUGGUGAGUAACACGUGGGAAACCUGCCCAGAAGCGGGGGAUAACACCUGGAAACAGAUGCUAAUACCGCAUAACAACUUGGACCGCAUGGUCCGAGUUUGAAAGAUGGCUUCGGCUAUCACUUUUGGAUGGUCCCGCGGCGUAUUAGCUAGAUGGUGGGGUAACGGCUCACCAUGGCAAUGAUACGUAGCCGACCUGAGAGGGUAAUCGGCCACAUUGGGACUGAGACACGGCCCAAACUCCUACGGGAGGCAGCAGUAGGGAAUCUUCCACAAUGGACGAAAGUCUGAUGGAGCAACGCCGCGUGAGUGAAGAAGGGUUUCGGCUCGUAAAACUCUGUUGUUAAAGAAGAACAUAUCUGAGAGUAACUGUUCAGGUAUUGACGGUAUUUAACCAGAAAGCCACGGCUAACUACGUGCCAGCAGCCGCGGUAAUACGUAGGUGGCAAGCGUUGUCCGGAUUUAUUGGGCGUAAAGCGAGCGCAGGCGGUUUUUUAAGUCUGAUGUGAAAGCCUUCGGCUCAACCGAAGAAGUGCAUCGGAAACUGGGAAACUUGAGUGCAGAAGAGGACAGUGGAACUCCAUGUGUAGCGGUGAAAUGCGUAGAUAUAUGGAAGAACACCAGUGGCGAAGGCGGCUGUCUGGUCUGUAACUGACGCUGAGGCUCGAAAGUAUGGGUAGCAAACAGGAUUAGAUACCCUGGUAGUCCAUACCGUAAACGAUGAAUGCUAAGUGUUGGAGGGUUUCCGCCCUUCAGUGCUGCAGCUAACGCAUUAAGCAUUCCGCCUGGGGAGUACGGCCGCAAGGCUGAAACUCAAAGGAAUUGACGGGGGCCCGCACAAGCGGUGGAGCAUGUGGUUUAAUUCGAAGCUACGCGAAGAACCUUACCAGGUCUUGACAUACUAUGCAAAUCUAAGAGAUUAGACGUUCCCUUCGGGGACAUGGAUACAGGUGGUGCAUGGUUGUCGUCAGCUCGUGUCGUGAGAUGUUGGGUUAAGUCCCGCAACGAGCGCAACCCUUAUUAUCAGUUGCCAGCAUUAAGUUGGGCACUCUGGUGAGACUGCCGGUGACAAACCGGAGGAAGGUGGGGAUGACGUCAAAUCAUCAUGCCCCUUAUGACCUGGGCUACACACGUGCUACAAUGGAUGGUACAACGAGUUGCGAACUCGCGAGAGUAAGCUAAUCUCUUAAAGCCAUUCUCAGUUCGGAUUGUAGGCUGCAACUCGCCUACAUGAAGUCGGAAUCGCUAGUAAUCGCGGAUCAGCAUGCCGCGGUGAAUACGUUCCCGGGCCUUGUACACACCGCCCGUCACACCAUGAGAGUUUGUAACACCCAAAGUCGGUGGGGUAACCUUU